RNAcentral lists this ribosomal RNA (816 nucleotides) under uncultured bacterium. RNAcentral describes it as "bacterial SSU rRNA". It matches the Rfam family "Bacterial small subunit ribosomal RNA", at positions 68 to 874 of the family's 1533-position model. The record is from RNAcentral.
GGCAGCGAGUAGAUUGCUUGCAAUCUACGUCGGCGACCGGCGCACGGGUGCGUAACGCGUAUGCAACCUACCCAUUACAGGGGGAUAACACUGAGAAAUCGGUACUAAUACCCCAUAACAUCCAGGGAGGCAUCUUCUUGGGUUGAAAACUCCGGUGGUAAUGGAUGGGCAUGCGUUGUAUUAGUUAGUUGGUGGGGUAACGGCUCACCAAGACGACGAUACAUAGGGGGACUGAGAGGUUAACCCCCCACAUUGGUACUGAGACACGGACCAGACUCCUACGGGAGGCAGCAGUGAGGAAUAUUGGUCAAUGGCCGCAGGGCUGAACCAGCCAAGUCGCGUGAGGGAUGACGGUCCUAUGGAUUGUAAACCUCUUUUGUCAGGGAGCAAAGGGCGCCACGUGUGGCGUUUUGCGAGUACCUGAAGAAAAAGCAUCGGCUAACUCCGUGCCAGCAGCCGCGGUAAUACGGAGGAUGCGAGCGUUAUCCGGAUUUAUUGGGUUUAAAGGGUGCGCAGGCGGAAUGUCAAGUCAGCGGUAAAAUUUCGGGGCUCAACCCCGUCGUGCCGUUGAAACUGGCGUUCUUGAGUGGGCGAGAAGUAUGCGGAAUGCGUGGUGUAGCGGUGAAAUGCAUAGAUAUCACGCAGAACUCCGAUUGCGAAGGCAGCAUACCGGCGCCCAACUGACGCUGAAGCACGAAAGCGUGGGUAUCGAACAGGAUUAGAUACCCUGGUAGUCCACGCAGUAAACGAUGAAUACUAGCUGUUCGGGGCAAAUGAGCCUUGAGUGGCACAGCGAAAGCGUUAAGUAUUCCACCU